RNAcentral lists this transfer RNA (95 nucleotides) under Xylariaceae sp. FL0016. Its description in RNAcentral is "tRNA-Ile". It matches the Rfam family "tRNA". Rfam says of the family: Transfer RNA (tRNA) molecules are approximately 80 nucleotides in length. The record is from RNAcentral. Lineage: Eukaryota; Fungi; Ascomycota; Sordariomycetes; Xylariales; Xylariaceae.
GGUCUGUUAGCUCAGUUGGUUAGAGCGUCGUACUAAUAUUUCUCACGAAAUAUCAUGUAAUGCGAAGGUCAUGAGUUCGACCCUCAUACGGACCA